GUAGUCUCGCACAGAUGCAUAUCAAUAAGCGGAGGAAAAGAAACUAACAAGGAUUCCCUCAGUAACGGCGAGUGAAGCGGGAAGAGCUCAAAUUUGAAAUCUUGAAAGGUCACCUUUCACGAAUUGUAGUUUAAAGAAGUGUUUUCUGUUACGAUCGUAAUAUAAGUUCUUUGGAAUAGGACAUCACAGAGGGUGAGAAUCCCGUCUAUGAUUGCGAUUUGUAGCUUUGUGAUACACUUUCAAAGAGUCGGGUUGUUUGGGAAUGCAGCCCAAAACGGGAGGUAAAUUUCUUCUAAGGCUAAAUAUUGGCGAGAGACCGAUAGCGAACAAGUACCGUGAGGGAAAGAUGAAAAGAACUUUGGAAAAGAGAGUUAAAUAGUACGUGAAAUUGUCAAAAGGGAAGCGUUUAACACCAGUGUUGUUUUCUGAAAAUCAACCUCUGUUAGCUUUAUGCAUGUUUGUUUAGACCUAAUCAGCUAUCUUGCAUGUUCUAUUGUUUGCAGUGGUGCACUUUUCAGUUUACAGGUCAACAUCAGUUUUUUUUACCGUAAAAAAGUUAAAGAAAGGUAGCUCAUGGCUCCGGUCGUGAGUGUUAUAGUCUUUUUCCUAUGCGGUAGGAGAGACUGAGGUCUGCAGUGUAGGCUAUUUGGCUAGAUACUCAGGUGCUAUGUGAUACCAUUUCAUAAACAACUUGUUGAUUAUGUUUUGUCUAUUGCAUACUCGCUUGUACUAUCAUACCUACGCUUAGGAUGUUGAGUCGUAGAGCACGCAG
RNAcentral lists this ribosomal RNA (772 nucleotides) under uncultured Neocallimastigales. RNAcentral describes it as "partial large subunit ribosomal RNA". It matches the Rfam family "Eukaryotic large subunit ribosomal RNA", at positions 24 to 628 of the family's 3401-position model. Lineage: Eukaryota; Fungi; Neocallimastigomycota; Neocallimastigomycetes; Neocallimastigales. The record is from RNAcentral.